Molecule: long non-coding RNA, 222 nt
Filed under: Elaeis guineensis (African oil palm)
Lineage: Eukaryota; Viridiplantae; Streptophyta; Magnoliopsida; Arecales; Arecaceae
Description: long non-coding RNA (EGUI_LNC065309)
Source: RNAcentral
UGGUUGGUGGAGAACUUCAACUUCAAAUGGUAGGUCGAAAUGACAGCUCGGAGGGCAUUGAGGCCGGGUCGGCCAAGGAUUGCAUUGUAGGCGGAUGGCACCUUCACCACCAAGAAAUUCACCAGAGCCCUGGAUUGCUUUGGAUAUUGACCCCGACCACAAUCAAAGCUAUCAUUCCUUCCGUCGGAACGGCGUCACCGGUAAACCCUAUCAGGGGGGAGC